CAAGAAAUUCACCAGGUUCUCAAGUAGCCAGUAAUCCGAGACAAGCAGCCUAUGAAAUGAGGAUGCAGAAUAAUUCUAGUCCUUCAGUAUCUCCUAAUACGAGUUUCACUUCUGAUGGCUCCCCGACUCCGAUAGGAGGAAUUAAGCAAAAAGCAGAAGACAGUGACAGUGAACCUGAACCAGAGGAUAACGUCAGGCUUUGGGAAGCUGGUUGGAAGCAGCGGUACUACAAGAACAAAUUUGACGUUGAUGCAGCUGAUGACAAAUUCCGUUGUAAAAUUGUACAGUCUUACGUUGAAGGGCUCUGCUGGGUUCUUCGAUAUUAUUACCUGGUACAAAAUGAAUA
Diceros bicornis minor is the source of this 346-nucleotide long non-coding RNA. RefSeq lists it as uncharacterized. The record is from RefSeq and is a predicted model, not a curated record. NCBI's taxonomy places the organism in Eukaryota, Metazoa, Chordata, Mammalia, Perissodactyla, Rhinocerotidae. The transcript is spliced from 3 exons.